Molecule: long non-coding RNA, 332 nt
Organism: Melitaea cinxia (Glanville fritillary)
Lineage: Eukaryota; Metazoa; Arthropoda; Insecta; Lepidoptera; Nymphalidae
Exons: 3
Source: RefSeq, a predicted model, not a curated record
AGCGAUUAUGUAAACGAUGCAAAACUGUAUCAUUUCUAUAAAUACGUGGAAGACGUUCUGAACAGUUCCGGACAAAACGGCACGUCCUGUGUACUGCGAACGUUGUGUCAGCUUGGAGCCGAACCACUCCACUCUGUAAAUAAUGGGGACCUUCUGCACGAAAUAGCUACUUUCAUCCUGAAUCCGAAUAACGAUAUAUUAAAUGAGGAGGAUCGAGAAGCAGCCACCUACAUCGAUGCUUAUGAAGCCGGUCGAAACCAACAAAACUGCUUCUCCCUUUACAACAAUUGUACAGUGUCAUUAAUAGAUAUAUUUACUAUAGUAAACUAAAA